Pyrgilauda ruficollis (rufous-necked snowfinch) is the source of this 422-nucleotide long non-coding RNA. RefSeq lists it as uncharacterized. The record is from RefSeq and is a predicted model, not a curated record. Lineage: Eukaryota; Metazoa; Chordata; Aves; Passeriformes; Passeridae. The transcript has 3 exons.
UGUCCUGUACGGGACAAGCGUGCCGCCCGCCCGGGGAGGGGAGGCAGCCGCAGCCCCGCCGCUCCGAGGAGCCCAGCCCGGUCGUCUCGUCGCCUGCCCAAAGGUGCCACGGCCCAAAGGGUGACAGCAAGGACGGUGCGCAGGGCUCCGGCCUGUGUCUCUCCAGGGAAAGGACUUUCCAGAUAAACAAAUCAAGAAAAAAUAACUGGCUUAAUUUCCCUCCACCCAGCAGCAGCUCUUCAUAGCUGUACACAGGGACCAUGGAGCAGCAAGAAGGGUUGUGUGGGACAGAGGCUGCCUGGGUGCUCCCACUGGCAGAUGAGAAGACUGUUGGUAGCACACUGUUUCAGUUGUUGCUGAGCAGUGCUUGCACUAAGUUGAGGACUUUUCAUCUCUUCUCCCCCCACCCCACCAACGAGGCU